AGCGAACGCUGGCGGCAGGCCUAACACAUGCAAGUCGAACGGACCCUUCGGGGUUAGUGGCGGACGGGUGAGUAACACGUGGGAACGUGCCUUUAGGUUCGGAAUAGCUCCUGGAAACGGGUGGUAAUGCCGAAUGUGCCCUUCGGGGGAAAGAUUUAUCGCCUUUAGAGCGGCCCGCGUCUGAUUAGCUAGUUGGUGAGGUAAUGGCUCACCAAGGCGACGAUCAGUAGCUGGUCUGAGAGGAUGACCAGCCACAUUGGGACUGAGACACGGCCCAAACUCCUACGGGAGGCAGCAGUGGGGAAUCUUGCGCAAUGGGCGAAAGCCUGACGCAGCCAUGCCGCGUGGAUGAUGAAGGUCUUAGGAUUGUAAAAUCCUUUCACCGGUGAAGAUAAUGACUGUAGCCGGAGAAGAAGCCCCGGCUAACUUCGUGCCAGCAGCCGCAGUAA
Molecule: ribosomal RNA, 449 nt
Filed under: uncultured bacterium
Lineage: Bacteria
Description: partial 16S ribosomal RNA
Rfam family: Bacterial small subunit ribosomal RNA
Source: RNAcentral